GGCGAUGAUCUCCUAGAGGUAGCUCACCUAUUGCCUUGUGACCAUGUGGUUAAAAUUUUGUGGCAAUUGGUUUUGAUUUAAUAGCCCAUCAAUCGGAUUUUUGGUUGGAGGCGAUUUUCGGAACUCUGUGUUCUUCCUGAUUCGUGAUUUGCGGACAAUCCGCCAAUGAACCGCGGACAGUCCGGGUGUCAGGGAUAGUUCAGCGUGGUUUCAGGUGUUUCUGGGUUUUUGAACUGCGGACAGUCCGAGAUUUUUUUACAAACAGUCCGCUAUUCAUUUUUCGCCAAGACUCAGAACCAGUCCAGCAAGUUUGCGUUUCUAAUCUUUGAACUGCGGUCAGUCCGCGGUACUGUAACGGACAGUCCAAGUACUAUAGCGGACAGUCCACCACCUCUAAUUUUGUGCGCAUUUUGAUCGUUUGAGUUCCAAAUCGCAAUCCGUCUGCAUUGGGUUUCUACCUUUCUAAGGAUUCUUUUUGUACUCUCUUCAUGGGUUGGCCUAGGUAUUUUUACUUCGGAAAUUUUGUUUGUGUUUGGAGUGAUUUUAGGACAGCCACCAAAUAUUUUGGAAGAAAUUUGAGGCUUUCAUUCACUUCCCCUCUGGUCACCGUUUCCAGUCCUUCAGAUGUGAUGUGUCAUCAUAUUACUGUAUGGAUAAUAUAUAUUUUAUUAUGUUGUACCUACUGUUUAACCACCGAAUAGUUUAACCAUACAUAUGGAACGUUCAGUUAAGUGAAUCCCAUGUGGUAAUGCAUUUUCACC
Molecule: long non-coding RNA, 761 nt
Filed under: Sorghum bicolor (sorghum)
Lineage: Eukaryota; Viridiplantae; Streptophyta; Magnoliopsida; Poales; Poaceae
Description: long non-coding RNA (SBIC_LNC009758)
Source: RNAcentral